This 143-nucleotide small nuclear RNA is filed under the name Phytophthora infestans T30-4. RNAcentral describes it as "U2 spliceosomal RNA". It matches the Rfam family "U2 spliceosomal RNA", at positions 36 to 185 of the family's 192-position model. From Rfam's summary of the family: U2 is a small nuclear RNA (snRNA) component of the spliceosome (involved in pre-mRNA splicing). Complementary binding between U2 snRNA (in an area lying towards the 5' end but 3' to hairpin I) and the branchpoint sequence (BPS) of the intron results the bulging out of an unpaired adenosine, on the BPS, which initiates a nucleophilic attack at the intronic 5' splice site, thus starting the first of two transesterification reactions that mediate splicing. Lineage: Eukaryota; Oomycota; Peronosporomycetes; Peronosporales; Peronosporaceae. The record is from RNAcentral.
GUUUCUGUUCUAAUCAGUGUAAAAACUGGUUUUCGCCUUUUGGGGGACUUUUUCACUCGCAUUUUUGGGCACUCUGCCACGACCAGUUUGCUAGCGGCGGACGAGCGGUCUCCGGGGGCGUACACCUUUCCCCCGCGAGGCCA